RNAcentral lists this ribosomal RNA (394 nucleotides) under uncultured bacterium. Its description in RNAcentral is "bacterial SSU rRNA". It matches the Rfam family "Bacterial small subunit ribosomal RNA", at positions 505 to 898 of the family's 1533-position model. The record is from RNAcentral.
GUGUCAGCCGCCGCGGUAAUACGUAUGGGGCAAGCGUUAUCCGGAUUCAUUGGGCGUAAAGCGCGCGUAGGCGGAUUGUUAAGCGCGAUGUGAAAACUGGGGGCUCAACCCGCAGCCUGCAUCGCGAACUGGCAGUCUUGAGUCUGGUAGAGGAGUGUGGAAUUCCCAGUGUAGCGGUGAAAUGCGCAGAUAUUGGGAGGAACACCAGUGGCGAAGGCGGCACUCUGGGCCACGACUGACGCUGAGGCGCGAAAGCUAGGGGAGCGAACAGGAUUAGAUACCCUGGUAGUCCUAGCCGUAAACGAUGGGCACUAGGUGUGGGGGGUACAACUCCCUCCGUGCCGCAGCUAACGCAUUAAGUGCCCCGCCUGGGGAGUACGGCCGCAAGGCUAAA